UAUUAUUAUUUUAUUAUUACAACUUUAUUUCAAUACGGAGCUAUUUCACAAUAUUAAACUAACUAAAUAUAUACAGAGAGAAAACAAAAUGAGUGAUCUUCCAAUAGGCCGUAUAUAUAAAAAUUAUUAUUACUUUCGUUGCAAUUAAAGCUUAUUUUUGAAACAUUGGAUGGUUUGAGAUCUCUUAAGAUCACAAGGUAAACUAUUCCAAGCCACCGCACCCCUGUAACUAAAUGAUUUUUUCUUGAAAUUAGUGUUUGGUUUAGGUGGAAAAUAAUUUUGCACCUGUCUCGUUUCGUAAUUGUGUACGUCAUCGGUUGAAAUAAAUUUGAUAUGGAGCGAGGAACAAAUUGAAUUUCUAACUUUGAACAUUAGUGUACCAAGUUGUUGGUUCCUACGAGUCUCCAGAUUGUCAAGGUUUAGGUGUUGUAGAAGAACACAGGAGCGGACAUCAUAUCCACACUUAGUGGUAAUGCACGCAGCUCUGUUUUAUAAACGCUGCAGUUUAUCAGAAAGUGUGGAGCCGAGG
This is a non-coding RNA of Paramuricea clavata, 529 nucleotides long. The record is from the annotation of a GenBank genome assembly. NCBI's taxonomy places the organism in Eukaryota, Metazoa, Cnidaria, Anthozoa, Malacalcyonacea, Plexauridae.